This 1098-nucleotide long non-coding RNA is filed under the name Equus caballus (horse). RNAcentral's name for it is "lncRNA (ENSECAG00000047949.1)". The record is from RNAcentral. Lineage: Eukaryota; Metazoa; Chordata; Mammalia; Perissodactyla; Equidae.
CUACGCUGCUGUGUUUCAUGAUUCCAGCCGGAACUUUGUCUUCUCUUUGCCGACUUAAAAUUAUAUAUCUCCAACUGUUGUGCUUUCAUGUCUUCUCCGACUCGGUCAAGGGCGGGCGUCAUCGCUGGACUCCAUUAGCCAACUCAGAAGUUCGAAAGAAGGAAAGGAAGAAUAUUCUUCUGGCUUGACUCAGCUGUGUCUUUCAUCAGGCGAAAAUCGGAGGAAACAAAAGGAUGCUCAGGACGUAUGGUAACUCCGGGGCUCUCUAGGAUUUCUGAGGCGGCAAUGGGAAUUUUCCACCCUUCGAGGGAAACUUAAAGACAAAUUUGUAGUUCAUACUCUGUUUUCCACCCCAGAGAAUGUUGACAUGAACGUUUUUGAUCCCUUGCAAAUUUUUAAAGAAACUGCGAUUUGAAUUUGUGUGGAAGAUUAAAUUUUUGUCACUCUGACAUGGAACACUAUCAUCCCAAUUAAUUUGAAGGUGGAAGGAAGUUGAUGUACUGGAAAACGUACACUGACAGAAAGUGUGUAAUCAGCGGCCUCCCGUAGCCGGGCCCUCUCCUCCCCAUACCAGCCGAGGCCCCUCUUGCGCUUACUGUGCUUUUGCUAGUCUGGGCCACGUCUUUUUGGCCACCUCCUGGGCCCUCCUGGCAGAUCUUGGGACCCAAUUUGCCCUUCACAGCACCUUUGUGUCUUCAGAAACCUGAUAAGGGCUAGGUCACUGAUUUUCUUCUCUGACCGUUUAGCUUACUUGACUCGGGUUUGUCUCAAGCCAGACAGAAAGUCGAUUUCUCAGAGAAAGGAGUUGGUCUCCAGAACUUCUGACUGCACCCAAGGCUGGGAACUGAUUGCUGUGCUUGCCUGUGACCACCCAGCUCAAGACAACCGACCUGCCACCCUGCUGUGUCUACUGAGACAACAGACCUUCUACCUGCUGUGUCCAUCGCUGUGCCUGCAGUCUCAUGACUAUUAUAAAAGUGACAUUUCAAUCACAUGUGAAACAUGCUCUUUGAGGGUAUAUAACCACUCUGUACACCCCACUUCUUUGGUGCCCUUCCUUCCUUGGGGAAGGAAGGCCUCUGGCUAAGCUAGUCCUCA